AUUGAACGCUGGCGGCAGGCCUAACACAUGCAAGUCGAACGGUAACAGAACUAGCUUGCUAGUUGCUGACGAGUGGCGGACGGGUGAGUAAUGCUUGGGAAUUUGCCUUUAGGAGGGGGAUAACCACUGGAAACGGUGGCUAAUACCGCAUAAUGUCUACGGACCAAAGGGGGCUUUUAGCUCCCACCUAUAGAGAAGCCCAAGUGAGAUUAGAUAGUUGGUGAGGUAAAGGCUCACCAAGGCGACGAUCUCUAGCUGUUCUGAGAGGAAGAUCAGCCACACUGGAACUGAGACACGGUCCAGACUCCUACGGGAGGCAGCAGUGGGGAAUAUUGCACAAUGGGGGAAACCCUGAUGCAGCCAUGCCGCGUGUGUGAAGAAGGCCUUCGGGUUGUAAAGCACUUUCAGUUGUGAGGAAAGGUUAGUAGUUAAUACCUGCUAGCUGUGACGUUAACAACAGAAGAAGCACCGGCUAACUCCGU
RNAcentral lists this ribosomal RNA (482 nucleotides) under uncultured Gammaproteobacteria bacterium. Its description in RNAcentral is "bacterial SSU rRNA". It matches the Rfam family "Bacterial small subunit ribosomal RNA", at positions 30 to 506 of the family's 1533-position model. The record is from RNAcentral. Lineage: Bacteria; Pseudomonadati; Pseudomonadota; Gammaproteobacteria.